AAAAAUUAAUGGGACAAUGAAAUGGGACGAACCAAUGCUUAUGCUCUUAGACAAUGGGCAUUGGUGAUCCUCCACCUAGUCCCCCCAAAAAAAGAAAAAAUAGAAAAGAAAAAAGAAAAAAAAUCCACGGGACGUACGUUAUAUAGGUACGUCCUUCUUCUUCUUUUUCACUAUUCGCAGGCCCACUGACAUGUUGCGGCCCGCAAUUAGUUACCUCAUACUUGUUUUUUUUUUUAAAAAAAAAAAAUUUCCUCAGACAAAAAAUUGUCCUACCGCUGCACAUGCCCUUAAGAGCAACUGCAUUGGCGUUAAUAAGCAAAGUCCCAUUCAUUUUUUUGGUUAAAUUAAAUCAUUAAUACGUUUAAUGUGAGUACGUUUCUG
Molecule: long non-coding RNA, 381 nt
Filed under: Capsella rubella
Lineage: Eukaryota; Viridiplantae; Streptophyta; Magnoliopsida; Brassicales; Brassicaceae
Description: long non-coding RNA (CRUB_LNC003168)
Source: RNAcentral